CCUACGUGUGGCAGCAGUGAGGAAUAUUGGUCAAUGGCCGGAAGGCUGAACCAGCCAUGCCGCGUGAAUGUCAGUGCCCUAUGGGCGUUAAACUUCUUUUGUGCGGGAGCAAUAAUGGUCACGUGUGGCCUGACGAUAGUACCGUACGAAUAAGCAUCGGCUAACUGCGUGCCAGCAGCCGCGGUAAUCCGGGGGAUGCAAGCGUUAUCCGGAUUGACUGGGUUGAAAGGGUGCGUAGGCUGUGAGGUAAGUCAGAGGUGGAAUGCCUCCGCUCAACGGGGUGAAUUGCCAUUGAUACUGGCUUGCUGGAGUGCGGAUGCCGUAGGAGGAAUGUGUGGUGUAGCGGUGAAAUGCAUAGAUAUCACACAGAACACCGAUUGCGAAGGCAUCUCACGAAUCCGCGAUUGACGCUGAUGCACGAAAGCGUGGGUAUCAAACAGGAUUAGAUACCCGAGUAGUC
This 460-nucleotide ribosomal RNA is filed under the name uncultured bacterium. RNAcentral's name for it is "partial 16S ribosomal RNA". It matches the Rfam family "Bacterial small subunit ribosomal RNA", at positions 338 to 795 of the family's 1533-position model. The record is from RNAcentral.